GAUGAACGCUGGCGGCGUGCCUAAUACAUGCAAGUCGAGCGAACAGACGAGGAGCUUGCUCCUCUGACGUUAGCGGCGGACGGGUGAGUAACACGUGGAUAACCUACCUAUAAGACUGGGAUAACUUCGGGAAACCGGAGCUAAUACCGGAGAAUAUAUUGAACCGCAUGGGUCAAUAGUGAAAUACGGGUUUGCGGUCACGUAUAGAGGGAUCCGCGCCGCAUUAGCUAGUUGGUAAGGUAACGGGUUACCAAGGGAACGAGGCGUAGCCGACCUGAGAGGGUGCUCGGCCACACUGGAACUUAGACACGGUCCAGACUCCUACGGGAGGCACCAGUAGGGAAUCGUCCGCAAUGGGCGAAAGCCUUACGGAGCAACGCCGCGUGAGUGAUGAAGGUCUUCGGAUCGUAAAGCUCUGUUAUUAGGGAAGAACAAAUGUGUAAGUAACUAUGCACGUCUUGACGGUACCUAAUCAGAAAGCCACGGCUAACUACGUG
RNAcentral lists this ribosomal RNA (497 nucleotides) under uncultured bacterium. RNAcentral's name for it is "partial 16S ribosomal RNA". It matches the Rfam family "Bacterial small subunit ribosomal RNA", at positions 28 to 507 of the family's 1533-position model. The record is from RNAcentral.